UGUGUUACUAUGUAUGUAUGUAUGUGUAUUCGUGUAUAUAUAGUGUUUGAAGUAUAAUUGUCGUGAUAUAAUGGGCUUGAAUCGGAGAAGAAGGCAAGAAGAGAAGUGGUGGAUUUUGAACAGCAUAAGAGGAAUGUUUACUAGACGUUGUCCGCGUCAAGAUAAAUAGUUCUUCUGACUAACCCAUUUUAUUAUUUAUAUAAUGUAUUAUAGCAUGGCAUAUAGUUUCUUUCUAGCUACUACAUAUUAUUUUUGACAGGAAAUAUAUCAUUAAAUAU
RNAcentral lists this long non-coding RNA (278 nucleotides) under Brassica napus (rape). RNAcentral describes it as "long non-coding RNA (BNAP_LNC018393)". Lineage: Eukaryota; Viridiplantae; Streptophyta; Magnoliopsida; Brassicales; Brassicaceae. The record is from RNAcentral.